Long non-coding RNA from Lagopus muta (rock ptarmigan), 1230 nucleotides. RefSeq lists it as uncharacterized. NCBI's taxonomy places the organism in Eukaryota, Metazoa, Chordata, Aves, Galliformes, Phasianidae. The transcript has 3 exons. The record is from RefSeq and is a predicted model, not a curated record.
GGGAUGGGUUGGAAGGGUCCUUAAAGGUCAUAGGAGUGGUCAGGAGGGUCCUUAAAGGUCAUAGGAGUGGUCAGGAGGGUCCUUAAAGGUCAUAGAAGGAGUUGGGUUGGGAUGGAAGGGGACUUAGAGGUCAUAGAUGUGGUCAGGAGGGUCCUUAAAGGUCAUGGAAGGAGUUGGGUUGGGAUGGAAGGGUCCUUAAAGGUCAUAGGAGUGGUCAGGAGGGUCCUUAAAGGUCACAGAAUUGGUCAGGAGGGUCCUUAAAGGUCAUAGAAGGAGUUGGGUUGGGUUGGAAGGGUCCUUAAAGGUCACUGAAUUGGUUAGGAGGGUCCCUUAAAGGUCAUAGAAGGAGUUGGGUUGAGUCAGAAGGGUCCCUAAAAGUCAUAGAAGGAGUUGGGUUGGGUUGGAAGGGUCCUUAAAGGUCAUAGAAUUGGUCAGGAGGGUCCUUAAAGGUCAUAGAAGGAGUUGGGUUGAGUCAGAAGGGUCCCUAAAAGUCAUAGAAGGAGGUUGGGCUGGUUGGAAGGGGACUUAGAGGUCAUAGAAUUGGUCAGGAGGGUCCUUAAAGGUCAUAGAAGGAAUUGGGUUGGGGUUGGAAGGGUCCUUAAAGAUUAAAGGAUCAUAGAAUGGGUUGGAAGGGUCCUUAAAGAUCAACGAAUCACAGAACAGCUUGGAAGGGUCCUUAAAGACUACAGAACCAUAGAAGGGGCUGGAAGGGUCCUUAAAGAUCAAAGGAUCAUGGAAUGGGUUGGAAAGGUCCUUAAAGAUGAAUGAAUCAUAGAAUGGGUUGGAAGGGGUCCUUAAAGAUCAACGAAUCAUAGAACAGGUUGGAAAGGUCCUUAAAGAUCAACGAAUCACAGAAUGGCUUGGAAGGGUCUUUAAAGACUAAAGUAUCAUAGAACGGGUUGGAAAGGUCCUUAAAGAUCAAAGGAUCAUGGAAUGGGUUGGAAGGGUCCUUAAAGAUCAACAAAUCAUAGAACAGCUUGGAAGGGUCCUUAAAGACUACAGAACCAUAGAAGGGGCUGGAAGGGUCCUUACAGAUCAAAGGAUCAUGGAAUGGGUUGGAAAGGUCCUUAAAGAUGAAUGAAUCAUAGAACGGGUUGGAAGGGUCCUUAAAGAUCAACGAAUCUUAGAACUGCUUGGAAGGGUCCUUAAAGAUGAAUAUACUGGAAGGCACGAGGCCCUCAGACAACAAUCAGAGCCACAACGAGAGCCAGAAAGCAACAAGAGGAAAGG